Long non-coding RNA from Spinacia oleracea (spinach), 3565 nucleotides. RefSeq lists it as uncharacterized. NCBI's taxonomy places the organism in Eukaryota, Viridiplantae, Streptophyta, Magnoliopsida, Caryophyllales, Amaranthaceae. The record is from RefSeq and is a predicted model, not a curated record. The transcript is spliced from 3 exons.
CUUCCUUCUAUUUUUUCUAAAUUACAAAAAAAAAAAAAUUAAAAGGCAAAUGUAAAGAUAUGCACUCGGUUUCUAUAAUUCCUCCCUUUUACUUUUUCUAAAUUUAAAACAAAUGAAAACCAAAUUGUAGGACUUGCAUUCCUGCUGCAGUUUGCCCAGAUCGUGAAUUUCUCCCUCAAAGAAAAGAAAUCCUCACUUUAAUUACCUCCUUCCAUCUUCUUCGUACUCUCGUUGUUCUUCUCGCUCACCGCUUCUUCUGCCGCUUCUUUGCACUUAAUGCACCACUGCCUACGCCGCCUCCAUCAACCAUCGUACCUCUGCAAUUCGGUGUUUGUUCUGUGGGAAUAGACUGAGAGCAGUGAGAAUAUUUUGUUCAAGUGAUCCUACAGCAGCAUGUGUUGCACGAAUUACACACAUGCGCAUUCGAACAACUGAUGCUUGUUUCUGCUGCCCCUGCAAGCCUCACAUGCACAUACCAAUUAAGCUUCUUGCAAGUCACAGUAGCUUGCACACACGUUGGCAUGCCUCUGUCAGUCUUGCACACAUACCACACACCCUCAUUCACUCAAAAAAUACACCAUUAUCAUUACUAAUGCAAGGGAUUAAAGAGAGUCAAUUAAGAAAACAAACUUUGGUAACUCAUAGAAAUAUGAAAAAGGUCAAAGUCUUUUAAAUGAAGAUAGUCAAUGCAGCCUAAGUUUUGCCAUAUGCCCACAAGUUGAUUUUCUAUCAAACACAUGGAAUAAAUUUAAAGCUAAAGAAGAGAAAAAACUUUAGAGAUGGUGCACAACUAAAAAGAAGCUGAACAAAUUAAACAAACUUGAAAAACAUCCUAAGAGACACUAUAAUCACUUGAAUAAUAUAACUGAAUGUGGGCAUAACCAGCCUGAAAAAAUGAACCUACUAGGAUUAAUGCUUUGUACUUAAACUAAAAUCUAAACUCAAAGGUUCUACACAUAUUAUGCAUCCAACAACUGAACUAGUGUGUAUAGUCUAUAGCAAUCUACACACUUAUCCAUAACAAGAAUUUGAGAGAAGAGAAAACUGGAAGACUUUUAGGGGUUUUCAAUCUGGCCUAGGUUUUGGAGAAUUGGGUGCAAUUAGGAGCAUUUUUUUGAUAAAUUUGAGCAUUAACGACGAAUUUUCUUUUGAGAAAAUACGGAUCAUUUUUUUUAUUUUAAACUAUUAGAUGAUUCGCGCUCUCUUUGAACAACUUUGUGUUUUAAUGAUAACUUUAUUUGGUUGGUUGUUAUUCAUUUUUUGUUGUAAGUGUAAUUUCUAGUAGUGUCUCUCAGCCAUCUAGAACUGUUAUAUGUACUGUAUAUGGAAAGAAAGUACUAACAAGCAUAUUCAAUGCCCUGGUCAUGACUCGUGUAUGUGCGUGUCCAUGUUAAGGUGCUUUGUCCUCUCAUUACAGUCAAGAUUAUGGGUAAUAUAUAUGUUGAUUUGUUGUCACAAAAUAGGGGAAUAGGCUUAGGAAUUGUGAAUUUCAGAUCUUCCAAUUUCCAAAUGCCAUCAACCCAAACUAACUCACUCAUUUGGGACAUACUUCUGUAUUUUGAUUCUAUGCUGGACUUUGAUGACAUAUAUACAUAACUUAAUGAAGAAAUACAAAUUCAUCCUAUAGAUCUUCGAAACCUCAGGCAAAAUGAGGUUUUGACAUCUCUAUCCAAAAAAGAAAAGAUUAUUAGGUAGCAAAAACAUGAAGCUGCUUGUGCGCUGUGAAAUCUUCUUGAAGCUUAUGGCUAUUAGCUAUUUAGUGACUGGUCUGUUGUUGUUGGCUCUAUGCUGAUGUUGGUUUGAUCUGAUGGGUGUGGUAGGGUUGUUCUACUUUGCGCUGUGUUUUGUUGGCUGGGGUCCUAGGUUUAUAGAGCUGCUCCUGCAGCAAUAGCUCUUUUAGGUUUUCGUCAAGUACUACACUACUAAAAUUGUUAGCUGUUGUGGUCCCAUUUAAUGCUUGAUUAUUACCAUAUUCCAUAAGUUGCAGCGAGAACUCAAAGUAGAAGCAAAUGAAAAAAGAGCACAAGCCUUCAAAACGAAUGAUUAUAUCGCUGCAAUAUACUAGUAUUCAAAGGCUAUUAAGACAAAGCCUACGGAUGCUACAGUGUUCUCCAACAGGAGCCUCUGCUGGGCGCGCUUAAAAUAUGGCAAUCUUGCACUCACAGAUACAGAUUACUGCAUUAAACGGAGACCAGAUUUGGUUAAGGGAUAUUACCAGUUCGGAAUAGCUUGAAGGAUGCUACAUGUCCAUAUGUUUUUGUUUACCAUUGAUUUAAUUCCCUUCUAGCUAGAUAGUAUCUGUCUUCUCAUAUUCUAGCUGUAUAAUUGUGAACGACCAUAAUUAACUGUCAGGUUCAUGAUGAUAAAACUUGUGACUCCAAACUGGAACUCUAGAAGAAUUAACUGUCAGAUUCAUGUUGAUUAAACUUUUUUUUUUAACAAACUCAUUGUUCACUUUGCUGAUCUAUUUCCUCUCGAUACUUAUUGAACAUGUAACAUUCACAAGCAUUAUGAAAAUUCAGAGAGUCAUAGAUUAAGAAGGGACUGAAUUACCAUAAUUAUUAUUGUUUCUUUUACAGCCAGUAUUGGUUGAUGGAUGACAAUUUUCUCAAGUGAAGGUGUAUGUCUUUGUGACAAGAGUGGUGUUGGAUGAAGAUUAAGUGGAUGUUUUUGAACGCUAUAGAGUCGUGUUCAAAGGUUAGUUUCACAACACAACUUUAAAAUGGUUUUUGGAACUAAUAAGUUGCAUGUUAUAGAACUUACAUUCCUUUUUCUUUUGAUGGCGGAGGCUGCUCCUUUCAUGCGCCUUUGGAUAUUCUCUAACUCACUAGUACUUUAUUAUCUUUAGGCUUGGUUAGUUCCAUGUUCCCAGACAAUCAAUGCUAGUGCUGGGUUGCUAACCAUUUGAACUGAUAUGAAAAUUGAGGUCCCUAGCUCAUGCCUUUUUUUUGGAAACUCUAGUUUUAUAGUAUUAAUUUAACAUGACGGGGGCAAUAAUUCUUCUGAUGCCUGUUAGAACUUGUAGUAGAUUAGAAUUUAGAAUUUGCGGUAGCAGAUUAGAACAUUAGAACAUGCAGUAGCAGAUUCGAUUACUGAACAUCAGAAGUGAUUUGUGUAUCUUUGUGGCGGCACCAGCUUUUGAUUAGUGAUUUUGUAUUUUUCUGUGACUUGUCCUUCGUCGAUUGCAAUUUCUCUUGCACACAAAUAUUACACCAAUGACAUUGCUAUUACCUCAACUAUUAUCAAUAUCUGUCCUAGAACUACACCAAUGAACACUAUACUAAUGUGAAUUUUCCGAAGUUUUGUAGUAUUACAGUGGAGUACCUAUUACUUAUUCUCUAGCGAAGAUUGACGAGUUACCUAUAUGUCCGAGUAUAAAGAACUAGAUGAAGAGUUUGAAAAUGGUAUGGAUUAUGAAGAUGAUGAUAUGGCGUAGGUGAUUUAUGACUUCAUUCUAAUUUUAGAAUUUUGUAUUUCUUUACGGAGAAGAUUAUAGGACCUUAAGACAUUUACAUUUUUUGUAAUAUGUUUUUGAGAUUAAUGAAUUUUUUUGAUUAUUUUGAUA